Molecule: long non-coding RNA, 415 nt
Filed under: Triticum aestivum (bread wheat)
Lineage: Eukaryota; Viridiplantae; Streptophyta; Magnoliopsida; Poales; Poaceae
Description: long non-coding RNA (TAES_LNC023024)
Source: RNAcentral
UUGUACGCAAACAAGAACCAGAUUUCACUUCACUUUGGUGCGUCAGGAAAGAGCCGUUGCGCAUACAUUGAGUUCCACGUCAAAACAAAACAAGACUGAUCGUCAUGUUUACAAACAAAUCUUUCUAGGUUUUGCGAGAUUGCAGCCUAAGAAUCAAUACAAAUUUCAAAUCCAUCUGUUCACUUUGUGUAAGGUCACAGCCAUCGUUCAACAGGGGACCAAAAGAACAUCACGAAGCUACCAGGUCGGGUGUUUCGGCUUCGACAGACAGCAAAGUAGUGUGCACCUUCCCGACCCAGGUAUCAAGCCGGUCACGCAGGGAUUUCACUUGGUCGAUCCCAAGGACCCUCGGUUGCGCCCAUGAAACAUGGACAGUCCCGUCGACCCCAUCAAUAAUGCCUUCGAUAAGAUGAGC